Molecule: ribosomal RNA, 305 nt
Filed under: uncultured bacterium
Lineage: Bacteria
Description: bacterial SSU rRNA
Rfam family: Bacterial small subunit ribosomal RNA
Source: RNAcentral
GCCUACGGGGGGCAGCAGUGAGGAAUAUUGGUCAAUGGGCGGAAGCCUGAACCAGCCAAGUCGCGUGAGGGAAUAAGGCCCUACGGGUCGUAAACCUCUUUUGCCGGGGAGCAAGGGCCGGGACGCGUCCCGGCCCGGAGAGUACCCGGAGAAAAAGCAUCGGCUAACUCCGUGCCAGCAGCCGCGGUAAUACGGAGGAUGCGAGCGUUAUCCGGAUUUAUUGGGUUUAAAGGGUGUGUAGGUGGGCUUUUAAGUUAGCGGUAAAAAUUCGGGGUUCAACCCCGUCCGGCCGUUGAAACUGGGGG